Long non-coding RNA from Maniola jurtina (meadow brown), 458 nucleotides. RefSeq lists it as uncharacterized. Lineage: Eukaryota; Metazoa; Arthropoda; Insecta; Lepidoptera; Nymphalidae. The record is from RefSeq and is a predicted model, not a curated record. The transcript is spliced from 3 exons.
UUUCGAUUCGCCUUGCAGGGAGAUGGCGUAGUUACAAAAAUUUAAAAAGGAUAACGAUAGUUUAGGCUGGGAGUUUUACUAAAAAUGCUUUAGGAUAAAGUUUGCCACGCGGCGGGUGGGGGUCGUUCAUCACGAUGUGGUGGCGACAUGGGAUUUAAGAAAUUCAAACGAAUUUAAGAAAUUUAAACAGAUUUAAGAAAUUUCAACAGUUUUCAACAAUUUAAACAGAUUAGAAAAUUUAAACAACUUGAUAAGAAAAUCAUCAUCAUGGUCCCCUAACAACCUAAUAAUUUUAAAAACCAUGAUUGGGUUAUAAAAUAACGCUGAAAUUUGAGAUUUAACACGCGUUUUGCUCGCUUCACGUUUGGAUUGAGGAAGCGUGCAACGCCAGCAAAUCCAUAGGAAUCUCUUGCAUCCUUCACCUUGCUCGUCCGCAUGACACACGGCCACCGUCUGUA